AGGUAAAGACACUGUGCCCAAAGGGACCCACAGUGAGCAGCAGCAUCAGAAUGAAGGCAGGGGGUGAAGCAGCUGCAGUUCUCACUGGGCUUUAACUUAACCUCUCGUUAGGAGGCUGCCGGGAUGCUUCUUUCCAGAUCUCGGCGCCGGCGGAGCCGCGUGGGCGGAGGAGCAUGUCUGGAGUUGAUAAGGGCCUGGCUGCUCCAGCUACAGCAUGGGACUAAGUGGUAGAAAACGGAUGGAUGGAUGGUAUCUUCACCACCAAGACCAGCACACAGACAAAAAGAAGGUAAAGGACAGAAAUCUGACAGCGGACAUGUUGGAGUUUAUUCUGAAAGGCCGGGACAAACGAAGACGGAUGCGUUCGAGGGUGUCUGACAGAUGGACAGUAGCGACGCGGGGCUAAGCCCCGAGCACUCGUAAUUAAGUUGCACAAUUGUGCAGAUAAUGAUUCAGAUUGCCUUCAAGUCAAAACACUCCGUGACGCGUCGCAAUCAGCCAACGACUGAGGCUGGUGGAGAAAAACGUCCCCACGGUCACUGCUGGAGCACAGUGAAACUUUAUACCUCCACGCAUCACAGACCCGCUCUUCCAGUAGAUGUUGAUGUUGUAAAAACAGUCCACUAAAACUUAUGGAAAGCAGUGAAGAGGGUAAUAGAGGUUUU
Long non-coding RNA from Betta splendens (Siamese fighting fish), 665 nucleotides. RefSeq lists it as uncharacterized. The record is from RefSeq and is a predicted model, not a curated record. NCBI's taxonomy places the organism in Eukaryota, Metazoa, Chordata, Actinopteri, Anabantiformes, Osphronemidae. The transcript has 4 exons.